AACACUGUUAACCUGCGGUACCUGCGGAAGGAUCAUUACCGAGUUUACAAACUCCCAACCCUUUGUGAACCUUACCAUAUUGUUGCUUCGGCGGGACCGCCCCGGCGCCUUCGGGCCCGGAACCAGGCGCCCGCCGGAGGCCCCAAACUCUUAUGUCUUUAGUGGUUUUCUCCUCUGAGUGACACAUAAACAAAUAAAUAAAAACUUUUAACAACGGAUCU
Molecule: unclassified non-coding RNA, 221 nt
Filed under: soil metagenome
Description: partial contains 5.8S ribosomal RNA, internal transcribed spacer 2, and large subunit ribosomal RNA
Source: RNAcentral